RNAcentral lists this unclassified non-coding RNA (234 nucleotides) under Hevea brasiliensis (rubber tree). Lineage: Eukaryota; Viridiplantae; Streptophyta; Magnoliopsida; Malpighiales; Euphorbiaceae. The record is from RNAcentral.
GUUAUACUUAUAUGGUUGGCCAAUUCAUUAUCACAGUAGAUGGUUUCACCACUUUCUUGAUUUACAUGACAUGAAUAGCCAAACAAAAAUACAUUCUAAUGAUAAAUUACUCCAUUAGAAAUACAUUUGUGAUCCUUUCUUUUUUAAUCACUGAUAAGAAUAAAUAUCUUGUGAUGUGGAGUGUGUUAGUGAUAAAUUUAUUGGAAAAUAGGAGAAGGUUCAAAGAAGAAAACA